UUAAGCGACUAAGCGUACACGGUGGAUGCCCUGGCAGUCAGAGGCGAUGAAGGACGUGCUAAUCUGCGAUAAGCGUCGGUGAGGUGAUAUGAACCGUUAUAACCGGCGAUUUCCGAAUGGGGAAACCCAGUGUGUUUCGACACACUAUCAUUAACUGAAUCCAUAGGUUAAUGAGGCGAACCGGGGGAACUGAAACAUCUAAGUACCCCGAGGAAAAGAAAUCAACCGAGAUUCCCCCAGUAGCGGCGAGCGAACGGGGAGGAGCCCAGAGCCUGAAUCAGUGUGUGUGUUAGUGGAAGCGUCUGGAAAGGCGCGCGAUACAGGGUGACAGCCCCGUACACAAAAAUGCACAUAUUGUGAGCUCGAUGAGUAGGGCGGGACACGUGGUAUCCUGUCUGAAUAUGGGGGGACCAUCCUCCAAGGCUAAAUACUCCUGACUGACCGAUAGUGAACCAGUACCGUGAGGGAAAGGCGAAAAGAACCCCGGCGAGGGGAGUGAAAAAGAACCUGAAACCGUGUACGUACAAGCAGUGGGAGCCUCUUUAUGGGGUGACUGCGUACCUUUUGUAUAAUGGGUCAGCGACUUAUAUUCUGUAGCAAGGUUAACCGAAUAGGGGAGCCGAAGGGAAACCGAGUCUUAACUGGGCGUUAAGUUGCAGGGUAUAGACCCGAAACCCGGUGAUCUAGCCAUGGGCAGGUUGAAGGUUGGGUAACACUAACUGGAGGACCGAACCGACUAAUGUUGAAAAAUUAGCGGAUGACUUGUGGCUGGGGGUGAAAGGCCAAUCAAACCGGGAGAUAGCUGGUUCUCCCCGAAAGCUAUUUAGGUAGCGCCUCGUGAAUUCAUCUCCGGGGGUAGAGCACUGUUUCGGCAAGGGGGUCAUCCCGACUUACCAACCCGAUGCAAACUGCGAAUACCGGAGAAUGUUAUCACGGGAGACACACGGCGGGUGCUAACGUCCGUCGUGAAGAGGGAAACAACCCAGACCGCCAGCUAAGGUCCCAAAGUCAUGGUUAAGUGGGAAACGAUGUGGGAAGGCCCAGACAGCCAGGAUGUUGGCUUAGAAGCAGCCAUCAUUUAAAGAAAGCGUAAUAGCUCACUGGUCGAGUCGGCCUGCGCGGAAGAUGUAACGGGGCUAAACCAUGCACCGAAGCUGCGGCAGCGACACUAUGUGUUGUUGGGUAGGGGAGCGUUCUGUAAGCCUGUGAAGGUGGCCUGUGAGGGUUGCUGGAGGUAUCAGAAGUGCGAAUGCUGACAUAAGUAACGAUAAAGCGGGUGAAAAGCCCGCUCGCCGGAAGACCAAGGGUUCCUGUCCAACGUUAAUCGGGGCAGGGUGAGUCGACCCCUAAGGCGAGGCCGAAAGGCGUAGUCGAUGGGAAACAGGUUAAUAUUCCUGUACUUGGUGUUACUGCGAAGGGGGGACGGAGAAGGCUAUGUUGGCCGGGCGACGGUUGUCCCGGUUUAAGCGUGUAGGCUGGUUUUCCAGGCAAAUCCGGAAAACCAAGGCUGAGGCGUGAUGACGAGGCACUACGGUGCUGAAGCGACAAAUGCCCUGCUUCCAGGAAAAGCCUCUAAGCAUCAGGUAACAUCAAAUCGUACCCCAAACCGACACAGGUGGUCAGGUAGAGAAUACCAAGGCGCUUGAGAGAACUCGGGUGAAGGAACUAGGCAAAAUGGUGCCGUAACUUCGGGAGAAGGCACGCUGAUAUGUAGGUGAAGCGACUUGCUCGUGGAGCUGAAAUCAGUCGAAGAUACCAGCUGGCUGCAACUGUUUAUUAAAAACACAGCACUGUGCAAACACGAAAGUGGACGUAUACGGUGUGACGUCUGCCCGGUGCCGGAAGGUUAAUUGAUGGGGUUAGCGGUAACGCGAAGCUCUUGAUCGAAGCCCCGGUAAACGGCGGCCGUAACUAUAACGGUCCUAAGGUAGCGAAAUUCCUU
Molecule: ribosomal RNA, 1942 nt
Filed under: Escherichia coli KTE55
Lineage: Bacteria; Pseudomonadati; Pseudomonadota; Gammaproteobacteria; Enterobacterales; Enterobacteriaceae
Description: bacterial LSU rRNA
Rfam family: Bacterial large subunit ribosomal RNA
Source: RNAcentral